GAUGAAGAACGUAGCGAAAUGCGAUACGUAAUGUGAAUUGCAGAAUUCAGUGAAUCAUCGAGUCUUUGAACGCACACUGCGCCCCCUGGUAUUCCGGGGGGCAUGCCUGUCCGAGCGUCAUUUCAACCCUUAAGCCUAGCUUAGUGUUGGGAAUCUGCUGUAUUGCAGUUCCUCAAAUACAACGGCGGAUCUGUAACAUCCUCUGAGCGUAGUAAAUUUUUAUCUCGCUUUUGUUAGGUGUUGCAGCUCUCAGCCGCUAAACCCCCCAAUUUUUGUGGUUGACCUCGGAUCAGGUAGGAAUACCCGCUGAACUUAAGCAUAUCAAUAAGCGGAGGA
RNAcentral lists this unclassified non-coding RNA (336 nucleotides) under soil metagenome. RNAcentral's name for it is "partial contains 5.8S ribosomal RNA, internal transcribed spacer 2, and large subunit ribosomal RNA". The stretch from base 1 to 120 matches the Rfam family "5.8S ribosomal RNA", at positions 35 to 154 of the family's 154-position model. The record is from RNAcentral.